Molecule: ribosomal RNA, 484 nt
Filed under: uncultured bacterium
Lineage: Bacteria
Description: partial 16S ribosomal RNA
Rfam family: Bacterial small subunit ribosomal RNA
Source: RNAcentral
AUUGAACGCUGGCGGAAUGCUUUACACAUGCAAGUCGAACGGCAGCACGGGGGCAGCCCUGGUGGCGAGUGGCGAACGGGUGAGUAAUACAUCGGAACGUGCCCGGUCGUGGGGGAUAACGUAGCGAAAGUUACGCUAAUACCGCAUACGAUCUGAGGAUGAAAGCGGGGGACCUUCGGGCCUCGCGCGAUCGGAGCGGCCGAUGUCAGAUUAGGUAGUUGGUGGGGUAAAGGCCUACCAAGCCGACGAUCUGUAGCUGGUCUGAGAGGACGACCAGCCACACUGGGACUGAGACACGGCCCAGACUCCUACGGGAGGCAGCAGUGGGGAAUUUUGGACAAUGGGUGCAAGCCUGAUCCAGCCAUUCCGCGUGCAGGACGAAGGCCUUCGGGUUGUAAACUGCUUUUGUACGGAACGAAAAGGCUCUGGCUAAUACCUGGGGCUCAUGACGGUACCGUAAGAAUAAGCACCGGCUAGCUACGUG